Oncorhynchus mykiss (rainbow trout) is the source of this 547-nucleotide long non-coding RNA. RefSeq lists it as uncharacterized. NCBI's taxonomy places the organism in Eukaryota, Metazoa, Chordata, Actinopteri, Salmoniformes, Salmonidae. The record is from RefSeq and is a predicted model, not a curated record.
AACAGCAGACAGAGGUCUCAUUUAUCCUCCUCUCACUGUGUCCUUUUCUAUUUUUUCUCUCCAUCCCUCCUUCACUCCUCUUUUGUUUUCACAGCAGUGAAGAAACGGUUGCCUUUUUCCCCCCUUUCUCCUCCUUUUAUUUUCUCCCCUUCUUUUCAUGGUGGUGGCAGGCGCACUUUGGCCAUCCCAGGUACUGGCUGGAAACAGUGAGGAUUCUGGGAGAUGGUGAGAUGAGGCUUUAAUGAGAAUGAGGCCUUCCCAGCUGGAGAGAAAAAUAUAUGCAAAUGAGAUGUGUGAGCCAAGAGGACACCGGGAUGAAGAACGUGUGGCAAACAGCAAGGGGCGAACUCCAGCUGACUACGGUCGCCUCCAAGGAGAGGAAGACGAUCUGACGAAUGGGAAUGACAGGGAGGGGAGGGGACACACAGGGCCCCGCCUGCCGUCUGUCCUAGCAGUCCUGAUGACUUCUCCCUUGAUAAUCAGCUGCUAUGGGCCAGGGAUAAUUCACCUGUCAAUGCCACCUACUGAGGCUGGAACAAGGAUUGAA